AUGCAAACUAAGAGAUAAAUGAUAUGUCUAAUGAAUACAUCUUUUAUGAUCGGAAUGCUUACCUGAUUGUACGAUUAUCCUGGUAUUCUGAGUGUAUGCUCAGUGUUGUGAUGGGUGUUCUGAAUGUGCUAUCCUCUUCUUGAUAAUUGUGCUAUCUGUGGUCUGAUUGUUGACUUAUGGGUGUGGUAUAUCACUCUUUGAUAUAUGCGUUGCAAAUGUAGUUAUUCUUAGACUCAUAUGAUAUGUCUCUUUAACAACUGUGUAUUGACUGUUCUCUGGUUCUUUUGUAUGGUUAUAGGUUAUGUAUGUGAUCUCUGUUUGGGGCUAUGUAAGUGUAUGUGUGUCUGGAUUUUUCACUAGUU
Molecule: long non-coding RNA, 362 nt
Filed under: Lupinus angustifolius (narrow-leaved blue lupine)
Lineage: Eukaryota; Viridiplantae; Streptophyta; Magnoliopsida; Fabales; Fabaceae
Description: long non-coding RNA (LANG_LNC001897)
Source: RNAcentral